This is a long non-coding RNA of Alnus glutinosa, 652 nucleotides long. RefSeq lists it as uncharacterized. NCBI's taxonomy places the organism in Eukaryota, Viridiplantae, Streptophyta, Magnoliopsida, Fagales, Betulaceae. The transcript is spliced from 2 exons. The record is from RefSeq and is a predicted model, not a curated record.
ACCAAACUCUCCCUCCCUCCCUCCCUCUCUCAAGACUUGUCUAUAAAUAAGGAGAGCCACAUUGCAGCAACUCAUCCUUCACUAAGACACAGAAUCUUUCUUAGAGUGUGUUUCCCAACUACAUUGUCUCCGAUCCUCUUCCUUGUUAACACAAAAUGGGUUACUCCAAGACUUUUCUUCUCCUUGCUCUUGUCUUUGCUGUUGUGCUUCUCACCUCCUCCGAUGUCUCUGAGGCCGCUCAAACAGAGAAAAAUAUCCAAACUGAUGCUGUGGAGGAGGCCAAGCAUGGUGACCAUAAGUACAAGCAUGGACACAAGCAUGGACAUGGUCACCACGGCCAUGGAGAUGGUCAUGGUCACCCAUGAGGACACGGUGCUGCUGGGGAGACGGAAACCGACCAAAAUUAGACAAAUCCUUCAUCCUAAGUUAUUUGUCUGAUCAAUGUGUCUAAGUAAUAUGUAGCUUAUCUAAGUUUGUAUACCAAUAAGGUUGCACCAUAGGUUGUACUUUUUUUCAUCUUUAUUCUACUAUUUAUGUAUUACAAUUAUUGUACUUGAAAGUGUUCAAUCCCCACUGUGGUGUCAGGAUGUUUUGUAUUUCUCUGCCCAUUAUUUCAAUCGAUCAUCCUAUAUAUGAUGACUAAUUCAAGAAA